This 446-nucleotide ribosomal RNA is filed under the name uncultured bacterium. RNAcentral's name for it is "partial 16S ribosomal RNA". It matches the Rfam family "Bacterial small subunit ribosomal RNA", at positions 338 to 795 of the family's 1533-position model. The record is from RNAcentral.
CCUACGGGUGGCUGCAGUCGAGAAUCAUUCACAAUGGGGGAAACCCUGAUGGUGUGACGCCGCGUGGGGGAAUGAAGGUCUUCGGAUUGUAAACCCCUGUCAUGUGGGAGCAAAUUAAAAAGAUAGUACCACAAGAGGAAGCGACGGCUAACUCUGUGCCAGCAGCCGCGGUAAGACAGAGGUCUCAAGCGUUGUUCGGAAUCACUGGGCGUAAGGCGUGCGUAGGCUGUUUCUUAAGUCGUGUGUGAAAGGCGCGGGCUCAACCCGCGGACGGCACAUGAUACUGCGAGACUAGAGUAAUGGAGGGGGAACCGGAAUUCUCGGUGUAGCAGUGAAAUGCGUAGAUAUCGAGAGGAACACUCGUGGCGAAGGCGAGUUCCUGGACAUUAACUGACGCUGAGGCACGAAGGCCAGGGGAGCGAAAGGGAUUAGAUACCCUGGUAGUC